Molecule: ribosomal RNA, 666 nt
Filed under: uncultured fungus
Lineage: Eukaryota; Fungi
Description: eukaryotic LSU rRNA
Rfam family: Eukaryotic large subunit ribosomal RNA
Source: RNAcentral
CCCGCUGAACUUAAGCAUAUCAAUAAGCGGAGGAAAAGAAACUAACAAGGAUUCCCCUAGUAACUGCGAGUGAAGCGGGAAGAGCUCAAAUUUAAAAUCUGGCGUGCCUUUGGCCGUCCGAGUUGUAAUCUGGAGAAGCGUUUAUCCGCGUCGGACCGUGUACAAGUCUUCUGGAAGGGAGCGUCGUAGAGGGUGAGAAUCCCGUCUUUGACACGGACAACCGGUGCUUUUGUGAUGCGCUCUCGAAGAGUCGAGUUGUUUGGGAAUGCAGCUCAAAAUGGGUGGUAAAUUCCAUCUAAAGCUAAAUAUUGGCGAGAGACCGAUAGCGAACAAGUACCGUGAGGGAAAGAUGAAAAGCACUUUGGAAAGAGAGUUAAACAGUACGUGAAAUUGUUGAAAGGGAAACGUUUGAAGUCAGUCGCGUCGGCCGAGACUCAACCUUGCUUCUGCUCGGUGCACUUCUCGGUUGACGGGUCAGCAUCAAUUUCGACCGCCGGAUAAAGGUUGAGGGAACGUGACAUCUUUCGAGGUGUGUUAUAGCCCUCGAUUCGCAUACGGCGAUUGGGAUUGAGGAACUCAGCGCGCCUUUAUGGUCGGGGUAGCAACCCACGUAACGCGCUCAGGAUGCUGGCAUAAUGGCUUUAAGCGACCCGUCUUGAAACACGG